RNAcentral lists this ribosomal RNA (832 nucleotides) under Escherichia coli. RNAcentral describes it as "partial 23S ribosomal RNA". It matches the Rfam family "Bacterial large subunit ribosomal RNA", at positions 911 to 1742 of the family's 2925-position model. The record is from RNAcentral. Lineage: Bacteria; Pseudomonadati; Pseudomonadota; Gammaproteobacteria; Enterobacterales; Enterobacteriaceae.
UGUUUCGGCAAGGGGGUCAUCCCGACUUACCAACCCGAUGCAAACUGCGAAUACCGGAGAAUGUUAUCACGGGAGACACACGGCGGGUGCUAACGUCCGUCGUGAAGAGGGAAACAACCCAGACCGCCAGCUAAGGUCCCAAAGUCAUGGUUAAGUGGGAAACGAUGUGGGAAGGCCCAGACAGCCAGGAUGUUGGCUUAGAAGCAGCCAUCAUUUAAAGAAAGCGUAAUAGCUCACUGGUCGAGUCGGCCUGCGCGGAAGAUGUAACGGGGCUAAACCAUGCACCGAAGCUGCGGCAGCGACGCUUAUGCGUUGUUGGGUAGGGGAGCGUUCUGUAAGCCUGUGAAGGUGUGCUGUGAGGCAUGCUGGAGGUAUCAGAAGUGCGAAUGCUGACAUAAGUAACGAUAAAGCGGGUGAAAAGCCCGCUCGCCGGAAGACCAAGGGUUCCUGUCCAACGUUAAUCGGGGCAGGGUGAGUCGACCCCUAAGGCGAGGCCGAAAGGCGUAGUCGAUGGGAAACAGGUUAAUAUUCCUGUACUUGGUGUUACUGCGAAGGGGGGACGGAGAAGGCUAUGUUGGCCGGGCGACGGUUGUCCCGGUUUAAGCGUGUAGGCUGGUUUUCCAGGCAAAUCCGGAAAAUCAAGGCUGAGGCGUGAUGACGAGGCACUACGGUGCUGAAGCAACAAAUGCCCUGCUUCCAGGAAAAGCCUCUAAGCAUCAGGUAACAUCAAAUCGUACCCCAAACCGACACAGGUGGUCAGGUAGAGAAUACCAAGGCGCUUGAGAGAACUCGGGUGAAGGAACUAGGCAAAAUGGUGCCGUAACUUCGGGAG